GACGAACGUUGGCGGCGUGCUUAAUACAUGCAAGUCAACUGAAGCACCGGUAGUAAUACUGGUGUGGAGGUGGCGCACGGGUGAGUAACACGUAGGUAAUCUGCCUUCAGGUCUGACAUAACUCCGAGAAAUCGAAGCUAAUAUCAGAUGAUGCAGCGGCUUGACAUCAAGACAGUUGUUAAAGCUUCGGCGCCUGGAGAUGAGCCUGCGUCUGAUUAGCUAGUUGGCGGGGUAACGGCCACCAAGGCUUCGAUCAGUAGCUGGUCUGAGAGGAUGAUCAGCCACACUGGAACUGAGACACGGUCCAGACUCCUACGGGAGGCAGCAGUAAGGAAUAUU
Molecule: ribosomal RNA, 339 nt
Filed under: uncultured bacterium
Lineage: Bacteria
Description: bacterial SSU rRNA
Rfam family: Bacterial small subunit ribosomal RNA
Source: RNAcentral